This 492-nucleotide ribosomal RNA is filed under the name uncultured bacterium. RNAcentral describes it as "partial 16S ribosomal RNA". It matches the Rfam family "Bacterial small subunit ribosomal RNA", at positions 29 to 507 of the family's 1533-position model. The record is from RNAcentral.
AGUGAACGCUGGCGGUAGGCCUAACACAUGCAAGUCGAACGGCAGCACAGUAAGAGCUUGCUCUUACGGGUGGCGAGUGGCGGACGGGUGAGGAAUACAGCGGAAUCUACUUUUUCGUGGGGGAUAACGUAGGGAAACUUACGCUAAUACCGCAUACGACCUACGGGUGAAAGCAGGGGAUCUUCGGACCUUGCGCGAUUGAAUGAGCCGAUGUCGGAUUAGCUAGUUGGCGGGGUAAAGGCCCACCAAGGCGACGAUCCGUAGCUGGUCUGAGAGGAUGAUCAGCCACACUGGAACUGAGACACGGUCCAGACUCCGACGGGAGGCAGCCGUGGGGAAUAUUGGACAAUGGGCGCAAGCCUGAUCCAGCCAUACCGCGUGGGUGAAGAAGGCCUUCGGGUUGUAAAGCCCUUUUGUUGGGAAAGAAAAGCAGCAGGUUAAUACCCCGCUGUUCUGACGGUACCCAAAGAAUAAGCACCGGCUAACUUCGUG